UACAGAGGUCUCAAGCGUUGUUCGGAUUCAUUGGGCGUAAAGGGUGCGUAGGCGGCUCGGUCAGUCGGGUGUGAAAUCCCUGGGCUCAACCUGGGAACUGCAUUCGAUACUGCCGAGCUAGAGUGUGGGAGAGGGUAGUGGAAUUCCCGGUGUAGCGGUGAAAUGCGUAGAUAUCGGGAGGAACAUCAGUGGCGAAGGCGACUGCCUGGCCCAACACUGACGCUGAGGUGCGAAAGCGUGGGUAGCAAACAGG
RNAcentral lists this ribosomal RNA (253 nucleotides) under uncultured bacterium. RNAcentral's name for it is "partial 16S ribosomal RNA". It matches the Rfam family "Bacterial small subunit ribosomal RNA", at positions 524 to 776 of the family's 1533-position model. The record is from RNAcentral.